AUACGGAGGGUGCAAGCGUUGUUCGGAAUUACUGGGCGUAAAGCGCGCGUAGGCGGUCUGUUAUGUCAGAUGUGAAAGUCCUCGGCUCAACCGGGGAAGCGCAUUUGAAACUGGCAGACUUGAGUACUGGAGGGGGUGGUGGAAUUCCCGGUGUAGAGGUGAAAUGCGUAGAUAUCGGGAGGAAUACCGGUGGCGAAGGGGACCACCUGGCCAGAUACUGACGCUGAGGUGCGAAAGCGUGGGGAGCAAACAGGAUUAGAAACCCCAGUAGUCC
Molecule: ribosomal RNA, 274 nt
Filed under: uncultured bacterium
Lineage: Bacteria
Description: partial 16S ribosomal RNA
Rfam family: Bacterial small subunit ribosomal RNA
Source: RNAcentral